Molecule: ribosomal RNA, 253 nt
Filed under: uncultured bacterium
Lineage: Bacteria
Description: partial 16S ribosomal RNA
Rfam family: Bacterial small subunit ribosomal RNA
Source: RNAcentral
UACAGAGGGUGCAAGCGUUAAUCGGAAUUACUGGGCGUAAAGCGUGCGUAGGUGGUUGCUUAAGUCAGCUGUGAAAGCCCCGGGCUCAACCUGGGAACUGCAGUUGAUACUGAGUAGCUAGAGUAGAAUAGAGGACAGUAGAAUUUCCGGUGUAGCGGUGAAAUGCGUAGAUAUCGGAAAGAAUACCAGUGGCGAAGGCGGCUGUCUGGAUUCAUACUGACACUGAGGCACGAAAGCGUGGGUAGCAAACAGG